Molecule: ribosomal RNA, 586 nt
Filed under: uncultured bacterium
Lineage: Bacteria
Description: bacterial SSU rRNA
Rfam family: Bacterial small subunit ribosomal RNA
Source: RNAcentral
AGAGUUUGAUCAUGGCUCAGAACGAACGUUGGCGGCGUGCUUAACACAUGCAAGUCGAACGAGAAAGUUUCCUUCGGGAAGCGAGUAAAGUGGCGCACGGGUGAGUAACGCGUAGAUAACCUGUCCAGAUGUCCGGGAUAGCCUAUCGAAAGGCGGAUUAAUACCGGGUAUCUUGUUUUAACCUAAGUUGAACCAAGAAAGGUGGCCUCUAUUUAUAAGCUAUCGCAUUUGGAGGGGUCUGCGUACCAUUAGUUUGUUGGUGGGGUAACGGCCUACCAAGACUACGAUGGUUAGCGGGUCUGAGAGGAUGAUCCGUCACACUGGCACUGAAACACGGGCCAGACUCCUACGGGAGGCAGCAGUGAGGAAUAUUGCGCAAUGGGGGAAACCCUGACGCAGCGACGCCGCGUGAGUGAGGAAGGCCUUCGGGUCGUAAAGCUCUGUCAGAAGGGAAGAAAUGGUUAUAGGUUAAUACCCUGUAUUCUUGACGGUACCUUCAAAGGAAGCACCGGCUAACUCCGUGCCAGCAGCCGCGGUAAUACGGAGGGUGCAAACGUUGUUCGGAAUCACUGGGCGUAAAGGGCAC